UGUGUUCUUUUUUCCAUUUCCAGGAGUGUAUCUUUUAUCCCCAUUUAUUAUGUAUUCCCACAAUGGACUGGGCUAUGAAAUAACAAUAAAGGAGACAAAAUCUCAAUAACAUAACACAGGACACAAAUGGUUUUUUAUGGUGAUAACAAUGGCUGUGCAACACUGGGUGUAAGAUAUGCUAAUCCACCUCUUCUGUUGGUAUCAUCUUGGUCUGGAGUCAAAUAUUUCUGGAUAUCAGUCAAAUUACAAGCAGGGUAUCUCAUUAUGAUUGUUGUCGUGAGAAGCGCAAAAUCUUUUCAACUGUCUAUUUCUACAACAUAAGAAAAAUUUAUGUUAAUUUGUAGAGCAAAAAAAAAAAUACAUACGACUGAUAAUAUCGUAACAUACCAUGCACAUUAUGUGUCUGAAUAAUACACUAUGACUCCUUACCCAUAUAUCACGUAUAUAGCCCUACUAAUUUUCUUACAUAACAGCUCUAAAUUAAGUUCAAGAAAAGAAAACGUUGCUUACGUUAGUACUGUAUAUAAAGAGCUAUAAAACACAGAGAAAAUAAAAAAAAGUCUGUAGGUCUACUAUUGCCAUUAUAUUUGCAUUUCCAUGCCUUUAUAAUCUCAUUUCCUGUAACGAUGGCAGUCAGUAACACACAGAACUUUGUUCCAGUUAUAGCUCCAGAAGUCAGUCACCAGCAGCAGAUGUCACAUGGUUAUAAAAUGGGAAACUUGAAGAAUAAGCUACUAGUGGUUUGGAUACACACUUGGCAAAUUUCACCUUUCACUUAAAAUCUCCAGAAGUCAGUCGGAGCAGCAGCAGCAGACGUCACACAGCCAUAAUGCGAGAAGCUUGAAGAAUAAUGUGGUAGUGGUUUGGAUACAUAUGACAUAUUUCACCUUCAGUUUAGAAUUGAAGUUUGUUUAUAUUGGCAGGUGGUAACUCGGAGCUCUUUGUUCCAGUUAUGGCUCCGAUAGUCUUCCAGCAGCAGCAAAUGUUACACAGUCCUAUAGAGGCAAACUUGAAGUAUGAGGUAAUAGCGUUUUGCAUACAAUAGCAAACUUGACCUUUCACUCAAAAUGGAGGUACAUUUGCAGUGAGUUUAAUGUUAUGACACAUAAAUGGAUUACCAGUGAUGUAUAGGUAAAUUUCAACUUAAUUUCAGUAUCGGCUCUGAAAUUUGGUCACUGGAUACAGCUAUAUUAUUUUUCAUGUUGAUAGCAGCAAUCAUCAGAUUGCAAUCCAGUUAAGUACCUGUGAGGCAUGAGAUGUCAAAAAUACUUGUGGGUUAUUGGUAGCCUGUGUCAAGGCAUGUGGCACCUCAAAGUUGUAAGUACAGUAGCAUUUUGUUUUCUGCUUUACUUAAAAAUUGUUAGCUGUAGCGCCCAUUCUGACAUUCAAUUAUUUUGAAUUUCAAGUUUCUUAAAAUGAUACUGACAUCAGUUUCAUGUGUGUUAACACUAAUCCGUAUAUUAUUGUUAAUAUAUGCUGCUAUUUUCCUCAGAUGUUAACUGAAAUUGUUUUAUUGUAAUGAUAACAACACUUCAGCCUAUGCAAACUUGCAGUAUAGGCUACCUGCUGAGAAAUAUUUACUGGAAGAAAUGGUUUCUUGAAUAGGACAAAAAGGAAUACCACUGAAAAUGCCAAACGUGAAUUGGUGAAACAUCUUGUGCUGAAUAAUAAAUUUCAUUUGCAAAACAUGGAAGUUUUCCUAUCUUUGUGGUGGAACACAACAAAUUCUCAUAAUUUUGCUAGUUUGUAUUCUAGAAAGGGUGCCAGAAAUGGAAGAGUAUAAUUUUUUUAAAUCGGGCAUUAAAUGUAAGGUUGGACUACAGAAAGGGUGCGACUGGCCUUCCCCACUGAGGUGCUCCAACAUGCAUUUGUACUGAUGUGCAGGUGGUUAUAACACUAGUAUCAAACUGCACAGUACCCACUUACUAAUGUGACCUACCCUUGCAUGAUCUGCUGCAGACAGCAAGAAAUCUGCUACUGCUCUUACUACCUGUCCAACUGUUGCGGAGGAUUUUUUUCCCUUGGUGCUUGCCAUGACAUGUUUUGCCCUCUGCUCUUAAAAUCUCAAUUCUUGUUACAUUUUUCAUCCAUUUUUCUAUCUCCUGAUGGACCUGUAUUGAUUAAAAAACUAACCAAUGCAGAGGUGAUUGUAGAACUUUCGUUAUGGUCGCCAUGCUAGUGGCAGUGUGGAGGGACUCCACUCUUUAAAAAAUACAAUUACCUUGUGGGACAUGGAAUUAUUUAUUAUUAGAGGCUUUCAUGGACAUUUUGUUUACUGAAAAAGUCAGUCAUUAUCUGAGGUAUUUAAAUGUUAACUUCAAAUCUAAAACUGCAUCAAAAGAUAAAUUUCAGUAAGUCUUAAACAAGUUUCAGUAUCUUGCUUCACAUGCUCGACCCUCCAACUAUAAAAAACAGUGUUUUGCAGAGAACAGCUAUUCAGAUGUUAACAUCCCAGAAUUUGUGUA
Long non-coding RNA from Schistocerca americana (American grasshopper), 2465 nucleotides. RefSeq lists it as uncharacterized. The transcript is spliced from 2 exons. The record is from RefSeq and is a predicted model, not a curated record. Lineage: Eukaryota; Metazoa; Arthropoda; Insecta; Orthoptera; Acrididae.